GAUGAACGCUGGCGGCGUGCCUAUACAUGCCAGUCGAGCGAACAGAUCAGGAGCUUGCUCCUUUGACGUUAGCGGCGGACGGGUGAGUAACACGUGGGUAACCUACCUAUAAGACUGGAAUAACUCCGGGAAACCGGGGCUAAUGCCGGAUAACAUUUAGCACCGCAUGGUUCUAAAGUGAAAGAUGGUUUUGCUAUCACUUAUAGAUGGACCCGCGCCGUAUUAGCUAGUUGGUAAGGUAACGGCUUACCAAGGCAACGAUACGUAGCCGACCUGAGAGGGUGAUCGGCCACACUGGAACUGAGACACGGCCCAGACUCCUACGGGAGGCAGCAGUAGGGAAUCUUCCGCAAUGGGCGAAAGCCUGACGGAGCAACGCCGCGUGAGUGAUGAAGGUCUUCGGAUCGUAAAACUCUGUUAUUAGGGAAGAACAAAUGUGUAAGUAACUGUGCACGUCUUGACGGUACCUAAUCAGAAAGCCACGGCUAACUACGUG
Molecule: ribosomal RNA, 496 nt
Filed under: uncultured bacterium
Lineage: Bacteria
Description: partial 16S ribosomal RNA
Rfam family: Bacterial small subunit ribosomal RNA
Source: RNAcentral